AGUGAACGCUGGCGGUAGGCCUAACACAUGCAAGUCGAACGGCAGCACAGUAAGAGCUUGCUCUUACGGGUGGCGAGUGGCGGACGGGUGAGGAAUACAUCGGAAUCUACUUUUUCGUGGGGGAUAACGUAGGGAAACUUACGCUAAUACCGCAUACGACCUACGGGUGAAAGCAGGGGAUCUUCGGACCUUGCGCGAUUGAAUGAGCCGAUGUCGGAUUAGCUAGUUGGCGGGGUAAAGGCCCACCAAGGCGACGAUCCGUAGCUGGUCUGAGAGGAUGAUCAGCCACAUUGGAACUGAGACACGGUCCAGACUCCUACGGGAGGCAGCAGUGGGGAAUAUUGGACAAUGGGCGCAAGCCUGAUCCAGCCAUACCGCGUGGGUGAAGAAGGCCUUCGGGUUGUAAAGCCCUUUUGUUGGGAAAGAAAAGCAGCAGGUUAAUACCCCGCUGUUCUGACGGUACCCAAGGAAUAAGCACCGGCUAACUUCGUG
This 492-nucleotide ribosomal RNA is filed under the name uncultured bacterium. RNAcentral's name for it is "partial 16S ribosomal RNA". It matches the Rfam family "Bacterial small subunit ribosomal RNA", at positions 29 to 507 of the family's 1533-position model. The record is from RNAcentral.